GUCGUCAGCUCGUGUCGUGAGAUGUUGGGUUAAGUCCCGCAACGAGCGCAACCCCCGUCCUUAGUUGCUACCAUUUAGUUGAGCACUCUAAGGAGACUGCCGGUGAUAAGCCGCGAGGAAGGUGGGGAUGACGUCAAGUCCUCAUGGCCCUUACGGGCUGGGCUACACACGUGCUACAAUGGCGGUGACAAUGGGACGCUAAGGGGCAACCCUUCGCAAAUCUCAAAAAGCCGUCUCAGUUCGGAUUGGGCUCUGCAACUCGAGCCCAUGAAGUUGGAAUCGCUAGUAAUCGUGGAUCAGCACGCCACGGUGAAUACGUUCCCGGGCCUUGUACACACCGCCCGUCACACCAUGGGAGUUGGUUUUACCUGAAGACGGUGCGCUAACCGCAAGGAGGCAGCCGUCGAAGGUGGGGCUCGUGACUGGGGUGAAGUCGUAACAAGGUAGCCGUAGCGGAAGCUGCGGCUGGAUCACCUCCUUUCUAGGGAGCACAUAACAGUGCCCCGGUUCCCGCGGUCACUGCGUCCUUGAGACGCGGCGAUGUCCAAGCGGAGUCGGGCCUAGCAUGUCGACCGAACCUGGCUGGAUGGCCGCGGACCGGGCGUGUCCCUUUCUACUUGGGGAGCACAACCGCCUUCGGCCGCAACGAUCCCAGCAUGCUGUUGAGUUUUGAGAGACCGGCCUCUGCCGGUCCUCGCGAGGACACCCCGCAGAAGGGCGUGACCAAGCAACGCGAGGACGGACGGGGGUAUACGCCUCUCCACGGUCCUUGAAAACUGCACAGAAGCCACAUCAGCCGCCAUCGAUAAGCGGCGGCUGAAAAACGGGUAUCACCGGGCCCUCCGUGACCUCCGGGUCAUGUUGGGCCAGAUCACCGUCAAGAUAGUAAGGGCACACGGUGGAUGCCUUGGCACCAAGGGUCGAUGAAGGGCGUAAACGGCUGCGAUAAGCCACGGUUAGGCGCCCAAUAGCCUAUGACCCGUGGAUUCCCGAAUGGGGAAACCCGG
Molecule: small RNA, 1007 nt
Filed under: uncultured Bradyrhizobium sp.
Lineage: Bacteria; Pseudomonadati; Pseudomonadota; Alphaproteobacteria; Hyphomicrobiales; Nitrobacteraceae
Description: bacterial SSU rRNA
Rfam family: Bacterial small subunit ribosomal RNA (bases 1-481)
Source: RNAcentral